Molecule: long non-coding RNA, 1221 nt
Filed under: Apteryx haastii (Great spotted kiwi)
Lineage: Eukaryota; Metazoa; Chordata; Aves; Apterygiformes; Apterygidae
Description: lncRNA (ENSAHAG00000008724.1)
Source: RNAcentral
AUGCUCGUUUUGGGUGGCAGCGCUCCRGGCUGCCUCGUCCCUUCUCCCAGUGUCACUUGUCCCCAGGGACGUCGCUGUGCUGGGGCCGGGGGGCCGGCAGCCCCCCAGUGCCACCCCAGCGCAUGGGGCUGGCGGCAGCGCGGGGGCCGUGUCGGCCCCGAGUGCUGCCAGCGGUGCCGAGCGCCGAGCCCCAGCCCUGCCCCAACCCAGCACCCCGGGGAGCGGGGGGCCUGGAAAUGGGGCUCCGGCAGGUCUGAUCCAGGCCCCGGCCGGGGAGCUAGCGGGGAUACGGCCUCGUCGCAUUCAGCAGAGCCUGAUUUGUGUCCCCAAAUGGGAGAUUUUGCAAGUCUGGUGGAAAGGCUGGACAGAGGAAAGCAGGAAUGGCAGGAACGGCAGGAAUGGCAGGGAUGCAGGAACGGCAGGAAUGGCAGGGAUGGCAGGGAUAGCAGGCUUGACAGGGACAGCAGGGAUAGCAGGGACAGCAGGGAUAGUAGGGACGGGAGGGAUGGCAGGGAUGGCAGGGACGGCAGGGACAGCAGGGGUGGCAGGGACAACAGGGACGCAGGAAUAGCAGGGACAGCAGGGAUGGUAGGAAUGAGGAGGCUCCCAGGGGUCGAGGCCCUGCCGCGCUCCAGCCAUGCAGCCCGUGUGAUGCCUCCGCACUCACCGGCCCCUGGGACCGGCCGGGGGAAUCUCCGUUCCGGCGCCUGCUGGGGAGAAGCGACGCCUGAGCAGGGUGUCGUCCCCCCCCCGCGAGCCCUGGCGCUGCCGCGGGCUCACCCCAGCCUGAGAGCGGGACGCACCUCGUGCAGCCUCGGGGACCGUCCUGCCCUCUGGGGCUCCCUGGUACCUCCCGUCCCUUUCCCCACGGGGCCAGGUACCAUGUGGAUUUGGGGACCUCCUUGCUGGAGCUGGAUGUCUCCCGCAGGUGCUGGGUCACUCCGACCAGGAAAACUGAGGCCUGUAGCUCUCAUGGCAGUGAUGAGCUCGGCUGCACAAUCCCUGCCUCACCCUAGCGAGGAAGACCCCCCAGAUUCCCGACUGCAGCUCCAGGGAUCUCUCGGUCAGGGUCCCCAAGGACCGACCAGGGCUGCCUGGACCUCGGGCCCCUCCUGCCCUUCUCCUCCUGGGCUUUGCGGGCUAAGAAUACCUCGCACGGCACUGCAAAUCCAGGUGCCGGGUAGGAAGAGAUUACGGAUGCGGAGUGGGGAUGUGCCAUAA